Molecule: ribosomal RNA, 465 nt
Filed under: Vreelandella stevensii
Lineage: Bacteria; Pseudomonadati; Pseudomonadota; Gammaproteobacteria; Oceanospirillales; Halomonadaceae
Description: partial 16S ribosomal RNA
Rfam family: Bacterial small subunit ribosomal RNA
Source: RNAcentral
CCUACGGGUGGCAGCAGUGGGGAAUAUUGGACAAUGGGCGAAAGCCUGAUCCAGCCAUGCCGCGUGUGUGAAGAAGGCCUUCGGGUUGUAAAGCACUUUCAGUGGGGAAGAAAGCCUUGGGGCUAAUACCCUCGAGGAAGGACAUCACCCACAGAAGAAGCACCGGCUAACUCCGUGCCAGCAGCCGCGGUAAUACGGAGGGUGCGAGCGUUAAUCGGCAUUACUGGGCGUAAAGCGCGCGUAGGCGGUCUGAUAAGCCGGUUGUGAAAGCCCCGGGCUCAACCUGGGAACGGCAUCCGGAACUGUCAGGCUAGAGUGCAGGAGAGGAAGGUAGAAUUCCCGGUGUAGCGGUGAAAUGCGUAGAGAUCGGGAGGAAUACCAGUGGCGAAGGCGGCCUUCUGGACUGACACUGACGCUGAGGUGCGAAAGCGUGGGUAGCAAACAGGAUUAGAUACCCGAGUAGUC